Brassica napus (rape) is the source of this 4856-nucleotide long non-coding RNA. RefSeq lists it as uncharacterized. The transcript is spliced from 2 exons. Lineage: Eukaryota; Viridiplantae; Streptophyta; Magnoliopsida; Brassicales; Brassicaceae. The record is from RefSeq and is a predicted model, not a curated record.
AAGAUGUCUAUACAUAGGAGAUAUUUACAAAACAUAGUCAUAAAAUAAUUUGGAUAUUUUCACUAAGUUUUAGCUAUUUGUCACCAAAUUAUCUUGGUUUGGAAUUUAAACAUCAAGUGUUAGUCAUUUGUCACUAAAUUAAUUCAGCUUAGUUACUAAAUUAGCUUAAUCACUAAAUUAUUUAGAUUAAGUCAUUUGUCACUAUAUAGAUUUAGUUUAGUUAUCAAUUUAUUAUAAAUUUUUCCAUUGUCAAAAGAUAACUCCAUCAUUUACUUUACAUUAGAUAAAAAAUUUACCCGGCUCAUUGAAUUUGCUCAAAAUUCUAUUCACAUAUACUUAUUUCUACUUGGACCGUUAGGCUUGUAAAAAUUAGUUUCAACGCUAAUUCAUGUCGAGUGGCCAAGUAACAUGGAUAACUUUUUUUCAGUUCAAUAAAUUAUGGAUCAAGAGUUCAUAAUUUCUUUGAGAUUAGAAACAAGAGCCAGCUGUUAAAUUUCCUCUAGCAGCCGUUGAGAUUCUGAACUUUUCACGUUUAUUUUUAUAGAAAAAGAUUUUACCAUUAGAGAUAACAGUUCCAAGUAAAAUAACUUCAUUUUUAUUUCAUGUUUUCUUAUAAACAUUAUUAUGUUUGAAAAAUAAAUGAACAAAUGAAAAAAUAAAUAGUAUAUAUUUUUAAUUAAUUUGUUAAUCAUUUGAAUUGUUUUUUUAACUUAAUCAUUUGAAUUGUUUUAACUUAUAAAAUUAUUAACAAGUAAAUUAAUGACGUAAAUUACAAGUAGUCAUUUGAAAUACCAGGUCAGGCCUAAUGAAAUAAAAUUUCAAUAAUAAUUCAAUUACACAUUAUAUAAAUUGAACCCAUGUUCUCAAACGCGGUGGCUAAAUCCGAGAACUCUUUAGCAGUGGUGAUCAGCAUGGCCAGAUGGUUAUGCCCGUGUCAGCCGUGGAAGUAAACAAAUUGCCGUGUAAUUUUGUCAAAACCAAGUUGCCAUGUUCAUAAGAACUUGCAAAUUCCAGAAUUCUAAGGAAGGUACUAUAAUCACACAUUUCCCUUGGAGAGGAUGUUAACCUAUUCGGGGAACUAGGUUUUUGAGAUCUCCAUGACUUCAAUAUAGCGCUUCUUGCAAAAUAAUUGUAGGGACCAAGUCAUUAUCUAAAUUCAUUAUUAGCACGUGUUUUAAAAGAAAGGUACUAUAAUCACACAUCUCACUUGGAAGAUCGACGAACAUACUCACCAUCAUAUGUAUGGCGUAGUAUCAUGGCAACAAAACUUCUAUUCGUAUCGGGUUUACGAAAAACAAUUGGUACGUAUCCAGAUACGAAGGUUUGGAGUGAGUCUAGGGUUCCAGACUCAGUGACUCGACCACCUAAACCUGCCGACCACAUUGUUUACAAACUAUCCUAACUUUUUGUUCAGUCCUUUAUUAGGAAUGAUACCAAAGAGUGGGAUAUAUAUCUUUUACGAGAAUUUUUCACCAAGAUGAUAUCCCUUUGAUACUUGGGCUAAAACUUUCUCGCUCUCUUGCUCCAUAUGGAUAUGUUUGGAACCACACAAAAUCAUGAGUGUAUGCAGUUAAAACCUGUUAUGACUUACUCCGAUCGACCAAGCUGAGUCUUACACAUGAAUGGGUUCUAGAGACGAGUAUCAUGAGCCUUCAGAGCGAUGUGUGGAAGAUAAAGGCCUCGAGUAAGAUGAAGCAUUUCUUGUGGCAAGCUAUCUCGGGCUGUGUGGCGACGGCAUAUAGGCUCACUUAUAGACACUUGGGCACCGAUAGAGGUUGUCCUAAAUGUGAUAGCCCAGUGGAGUCGAUUAAUCAUCUUCUUUUUUAAUGCCUCCCAGCCCUGCAGGUUUGGGCUUUAUCGAUUUAUUUAUCCCUUCUGGGUUACUUCCCGAGUACAUCUAUAUACCAAAACAUGAACUGUCUGUUUUGGAAGAGAAAAGAUGUGGUUCCACUGAGACCACAAUUCGAUACCUUUCCAUGGAUUUGUUGGUACAUUUGGAAGACGAGGAGCGACAAACUCUUUCAUGGGAAAGUCGUAUCCCUGAUUGACACUCUCCAACCCGCGUCUUUUGAGGCAGAAUGUUAGAGAAAGGCUAACGAAAAGGAGGAAGCAAAUGAAGAUCAUAAAGAACCUCCUAUUACAUAGGUUGAGACGGUGCCUCCUUGGAUUCCCCGAGUCCCUACCUGUCAAAUUGAUGUGUCAUAGAUCGAUAAUGUCAGUGUCAGUGGCUUAGGAUGGAAUCUUAAGGAUCAAAUGGGUUAUGAAUAUUUCGAAUUACAGGUGUGCAGGAGGAGCCUUUCAGCUUUACGUGUUGAGAUAGAAGGUUUACUUUCGUCAGCCUCGUGUAUGAGAGACAUGAGGAUAACCUCGAUACAGUUCGAAACGAACUGUUCGGACCUAGUGGACAUGACUACAAACCCAGCGGAUUGGCCAACAUUCACGACAAAGAUCGAGGUGUUCCAGAGUUUACAUGAGGAUUUCGAAGAUGUGAAUCUAUCUCAUAUUCCUUGGAGUAGGAAUGGUCGGGCGGAUGCGUUAGCAAAAGAAGCAAAGACCAUAGGCUAUAUUUUUUUCCAUAUAGAUCAAAUCCGGUCAGACAGAGGUUCUCCCCGGAGUAUCGGCUUCUCUGACUAGUAUUUGAUCUAGAUUAAAUGGGUAGUGGACAAAAAGAAUAAAAAGUUUGAAAUCAUAGUUAUUGCGAUAGGUAUGAUAUAUAUAGGUACAACCACAAGAAAAACAUCUGAAGAAAGUGCAUCAAAUGAAAAGAAAAAAGAAAAACAAUGGAAACUAAAUCAGAGAAUUCACAUAGAUUAAGGUAGAAGACCCGUCUUUUCUAAUCUAUCUAUCUAUAUAUAUAAAAAUAUGUUCGUCUCACUCCUGCUUUGCCACGUGGAAAAUCGAUGCCUGACAAGCCGACACGUGUCCCGGCUUUUAACCAUACGCGUUUUUAGAUACAUUUGGCUUAAAUUCGUACUGUGAUUUGAUGAAGCUAACCCUAAUCUGAUGAAGACAUGUUCCGGAGUCUUCUCUUCUACGUUCAAAGGCGACGGUAACUUUCGAGCUUCUUCGCGAUUUCUGUAACAGAGUGCGUUAUGGUUUCAUCGUGUUAAAUCCCAUUAACUCAGACGUCCACGUUGUGUUCUUUAAUGUGUUGCUUGCGUCGGCAAGACGGUGAGCUUUUGGGUAUAAAUAUGUCACCUUCACUCUCAGCUUCGAUAUAUUAAAAGUCGGAGGAGGAGGAGACGAUAGCACCACUUCCAUCUCCGGAGUUACUAAAGAGUUUUCCCCGUGGCUGGAGACUGUAGUCACCUACGAGGUUCGAGCUCCAGAAGCUGGAUGGAUCUCUCUUUCGACACGAGAUCGGUGUCUCCGGCCGGCGCCGGCUCAGGUGAGAAAGAGCCGGAGAGGACCAAGGUCAAGAAGCUCGCAGUAUAUGGGAAUCUCAUAUUUGAUAACACUCAUUUUUCUCAACUUUUAUUUUGUACUUUGUGAGAUCAAAUCCAGAACUCCUUUUUAUUUUAUUUUUAAAUGCAGAGAUUGUCGGAAAAAAAAGGUUCUUUUAGGUAAGAUUAAUAAUUUUAAGUGAUUGUUGAUAGAACGACAACAAGUGUUGUUGCUUUCAUCUUUAACUCUCUUCUUGAUUUCAAUUUAUAGGUGGUUUUGACACUGCUCAUGCGCCUGCUAGGUACCUCUACAUCAUUCUUUGGGAUUUGGUUUUGUAUAUGAAUCAACUUUGUCUUUGAGUUUUUUUUUAAAUAUUUUUUUAAUGUAUACGUAGAGCUUUUGAUCCAGCUGCUAUAAAAUUUAGAGGUGUUGAUUCUUAUAUCAACUUUACUGUUGGUGAUUACAAAGAAGAUAUGAAGCAUGUUUUUUUAUAUGAAUGUAGUUUUGGGUUCCUCUUCUCCCGAAGCUGAAACUACCACAUACCAUUGCAGUACUUUGUUUCAUGUAUCGAUUGACUCUAACUAUCAUAGAUUCAUGAUUAAUAGACAUUCCAUGUUCAUUUUUUCAUGUCUGCUUACAUGAGUUUAUUCGUGUUUUCAUGUCUGCUUACAUGAGUUUACAUGAGCGAGCUUUAGUUUAUUCAUGUUUUUAUGUCUGUUUACAUGAAAUUAAUUGUUAAUGACUUCCUUUAGGUCAUGUUUACUUAUUCAGUCUCCUAAGGCAUCUAUUUCGGCUUUUGUAUUUUGCAGGUACCAUGAUAGUGCAUAUGUAAGCUCUGGGGUUUAUUCUUGCUUUCCUUUUAAAAGAAACAUUUGAUGUUCAUUGGGAUGGAAAGAAGGCUUCUCUCUUUGUGCAAUCAUAUCUCACAUAAGCCAUGUCUCAGUAAAAUAGCUUCUGGGCUGCUGUUACUAGACACCACCACCAGUUGAAAGGGUUCAUCAAACAUGAGAUGGAAAGAACGAGAUCACACAUGGGUAAAAUAUGCUUUUUUUUAUAAAAUGUAAAUUAUAUUAUCAUAAGUAAAUAUUUGUUAUAAGCAGGUGCAGAUAGCUUCGUUGGAAAAAAAAAGGGAAGCUAAACGUGAAAAUCAGUAUGAGAAGCUUGGAUUAGCUAUAAGUGAACCAGACUGAAAGGAGACUGGCACAUCCUUUGUUGAACCUUUGUGAAGGAUAUUCCGGGGGAGCCUGUCAAUGUGAGCAAAGAUAGUACCAUGAGGUUUAGCAACGCAUGAGUGUAACCUGUUUUUCCUCUCUUUCCAGAGAAGAUAAGAAUAUUCCUUGAGUGACCAGUUUUCUUAGUAACAAACAAGAUCACCCUUCCGUUGGAGAGAAGGGAGUCAGCGAUCAAUUUUCUUUAAAGUUUGUUUAGUUAACAUUAUUGCGUUGAGAAAAGAAGUUAACAUUAUUAAUUCA